Molecule: small nucleolar RNA, 131 nt
Organism: Cavia aperea (Brazilian guinea pig)
Lineage: Eukaryota; Metazoa; Chordata; Mammalia; Rodentia; Caviidae
Gene: SNORA63
Rfam family: Small nucleolar RNA SNORA63
About the family: E3 belongs to the H/ACA class of snoRNAs and is involved in the processing of eukaryotic pre-rRNA and has regions of complementarity to 18S rRNA.
Source: Ensembl
AGGCAGGAUCUAGGUACAGUGUAGCGUUGAAGUGCUGCAUUGUGUGUGUUUCCUGCUCUAAAUAAAACUGUCACCUUCCUGGCCCUGCCUGCCAUGGUAUCUUAGCAGCAGGGAUGCUUGGUCUCAUACAU